This 561-nucleotide ribosomal RNA is filed under the name uncultured bacterium. Its description in RNAcentral is "bacterial SSU rRNA". It matches the Rfam family "Bacterial small subunit ribosomal RNA", at positions 338 to 916 of the family's 1533-position model. The record is from RNAcentral.
CCUACGGGAGGCAGCAGUGGGGAAUCUUGCGCAAUGGGCGAAAGCCUGACGCAGCCAUGCCGCGUGAAUGAUGAAGGUCUUAGGAUUGUAAAAUUCUUUCACCGAGGACGAUAAUGACGGUACUCGGAGAAGAAGCCCCGGCUAACUUCGUGCCAGCAGCCGCGGUAAUACGAAGGGGGCUAGCGUUGCUCGGAAUUACUGGGCGUAAAGGGAGCGUAGGCGGAUAGUUUAGUCAGAGGUGAAAGCCCAGGGCUCAACCUUGGAAUUGCCUUUGAUACUGGCUAUCUUGAGUACGGAAGAGGUAUGUGGAACUCCGAGUGUAGAGGUGAAAUUCGUAGAUAUUCGGAAGAACACCAGUGGCGAAGGCGACAUACUGGUCCGUUACUGACGCUGAGGCUCGAAAGCGUGGGGAGCAAACAGGAUUAGAUACCCUGGUAGUCCACGCUGUAAACGAUGAGUGCUAGUUGUCGGCAUGCAUGCAUGUCGGUGACGCAGCUAACGCAUUAAGCACUCCGCCUGGGGAGUACGGUCGCAAGAUUAAAACUUCAAAGGAAUUGACGG